Molecule: ribosomal RNA, 402 nt
Filed under: uncultured bacterium
Lineage: Bacteria
Description: bacterial SSU rRNA
Rfam family: Bacterial small subunit ribosomal RNA
Source: RNAcentral
UCGGGAAUUUUGGGCAAUGGGCGAAAGCCUGACCCAGCAACGCCGCGUGAGGGAUGAAGUAUUUCGGUAUGUAAACCUCGAAAGAAUGGGAAGAAUAAAUGACGGUACCAUUUACAAGCUCCGGCUAACUACGUGCCAGCAGCCGCGGUAAUACGUAGGCAGCAAGCGUUGUUCGGAGUUACUGGGCGUAAAGAGUGCGUAGGCGGUUUUCUAAGUUCGGUGUGAAAUCUCCCGGCUUAACUGGGAGGGUGCGCCGAAGACUGGGAAGCUGGAGUGUGGGAAAGGCAGGCGGAAUUCCUGGUGUAGCGGUGAAAUGCGUAGAUAUCAGGAGGAACACCGGCGGUGUAGACGGCUUGCUAGACCAUAACUGACGCUGAGGCACGAAAGCGUGGGUAGCAAACA